GUGCUGCUUCGGCAGCAUGUAUACUAAAAUUGGAGAAGAUUAGCAUGGCCCCUGUGCAAGGAUGACGUAUAAGUUCGUGAAGUGUUCUGUAUUUUU
Molecule: small nuclear RNA, 96 nt
Filed under: Octodon degus (degu)
Lineage: Eukaryota; Metazoa; Chordata; Mammalia; Rodentia; Octodontidae
Source: RNAcentral